This 48-nucleotide non-coding RNA is filed under the name Schistosoma curassoni. The record is from RNAcentral. Lineage: Eukaryota; Metazoa; Platyhelminthes; Trematoda; Strigeidida; Schistosomatidae.
AUUCAACUGACGAGUCCCAAAUAGGACGAAGCGACGCGCGUUCAGGAU